AUCAAACACUCAUUUUAUUAAAAUAAAAUGCAUUUUAUAUAAAUAUCUUCAUCAAGGAAUUAUACACGGAAGGGCCAAGCGGUCGUUGGGAGUGGACGAAGGUAUGUUUUCUUAAAUACAAAGUAUAAAUAUCUGUACACAAUGCAGCUAAAUAUUAGAGCAGCGGGAUGGCGCCUCCUGGUGGUCACCCAAAGUGCUUCAGUCGGGUGGUUCAUUUUCCUCUGCUCUCAGCUCUGAGGAAGUAUGAGGCAAAGGAAAGAGAAUGUGGGGGAGGGGCAGAGAAAACGGGAGGGAAGGGAGAAUAGGGGACGGGGGAGAGGAGAGAGAUUCAGUAGUCCACAAUAGUACAAUACUACUUGGUAGGGUAGAGGAGGGGAGAUGAUGUGAGGGGUUUGGGGGGGAUCGCACUUCUGUCUCUCCAAACCCCUCACUGUCAUUUUAUUUAGGGCCAGAUGCUGUAACUCUUCUGGGUGUCAGAGUCUUGUGCCUUUGGGCUCCUCCAAGGUGUUGCCCUUUUUUGCUCCAUAGGAAAAGACCGCACCGAAGAUAUCCUCAUGAUAACGUUUCUGGCU
Long non-coding RNA from Rattus norvegicus (Norway rat), 572 nucleotides. RefSeq annotates it as antisense transcript of iNOS gene. The transcript has a single exon. NCBI's taxonomy places the organism in Eukaryota, Metazoa, Chordata, Mammalia, Rodentia, Muridae. The record is from RefSeq and is marked provisional.